CAGCCGCCGCGGUAAGACGGAGGAGGCAAGCGUUGUCCGGAAUUAUUGGGCGUAAAGAGCGCGUAGGCGGUUUUCCAAGUCAUAUGUGAAAACUUUAGGCUUAACCUAAAGAUUGCAUGUGAAACUGGAUAACUAGAGUACGGCAGAGGAAAGUGGAAUUCCUGGUGUAGCGGUGAAAUGCGCAGAUAUCAGGAAGAACACCAGUGGCGAAGGCGGCUUUCUAGGCCGUUACUGACGCUGAGGCGCGAAAGCUAGGGGAGCGAACAGGAUUAGAUACCCUGGUAGUCCUAGCCGUAAACGAUGGACACUAGGUGUGGGAAGUUAUCGACGCUUUCUGUGCCGAAGCUAACGCAUUAAGUGUCCCGCCUGGGGAGUACGGCCGCAAGGCUAAAACUCAAAGGAAUUGACGGGGGCCCGCACAAGCGGCGGAGCAUGUGGCUUAAUUCGACGCAACGCGAAGAACCUUACCAAGGCUUGACAUCAUACUGACGGUUGUUAGAAAUACAACUUCUCUUCGGAGCAGUAUGACAGGUGGUGCAUGGCC
RNAcentral lists this ribosomal RNA (544 nucleotides) under uncultured archaeon. RNAcentral's name for it is "bacterial SSU rRNA". It matches the Rfam family "Bacterial small subunit ribosomal RNA", at positions 509 to 1050 of the family's 1533-position model. The record is from RNAcentral.